Molecule: long non-coding RNA, 1444 nt
Organism: Melanotaenia boesemani (Boeseman's rainbowfish)
Lineage: Eukaryota; Metazoa; Chordata; Actinopteri; Atheriniformes; Melanotaeniidae
Exons: 5
Source: RefSeq, a predicted model, not a curated record
CUAUCAACGAUAUAAAUUAAUAUGAUAUAUCUCAAACAACAACUUAAAAGUUUAAGUAGGGCGUGAUGACGUGUUUAGUGAUUUACUGGGCGCGAAGAACGUGGCCUCAUGGGAUAUUUUCUUUCCAUUCUGCAACGACGGUUAACGGACAGACGGCUUUCUGGAAAACAAAAGCAGCAUCUGGUUCACCAAGACAACCCAGUCCUACCAAGCAAAGGAAGUAGCAGCUGAUGGGAUGGCAGUGUAAGCUCUGCAAACACAAGGCUGCAUCAAAAGGGGCUUUACUCAAACAUUAUCGAGUGAAGCACGGUACUUUUGGUCGUGGAUAUUCAAUACCCUGUCUUCAUUUAAACUGUCCUUGCUCUUUCAAGACAUGGGGUGCCCUACGCACACAUUUGUCUAGAUCUCACACUUUGAAUGAAAGAGACGAGCAUGAAGUUCUUCAGUCUUUCAUAUAGGGGAAUUCCCAUUGAGAAAACAAGAGAGGUCAUCAUCCGAUGUCUCAUUGACCAUCUAGGGGAGGAUGAAAAUGCUUUAAUCAAACACUUUGAGGGGGAUGCCGAUGCUGUCUGUGUUCAAGAGACUUUGGCUGAGGAGGUGAUCAAGGUUUAUCUGCUGCAGAGCCAUGAUGGGUCAGUCAAACCUCCUGAUGUUGGGAUUGUUAUUGAGGGCAUUACUGUCCUUAAAAAUCUUGGUGAUCUCAGCAGAGCCUGUUGCUAUCUUUUGGGACUGGUCUAUGCUUUGGAUCUGAAAUACCCCAAGAAUCUUAAAUAUACUUUUGAGGUGUUUCAAAAAGUUUUCCUGGAGCUGGAUCCUGGAAACCUUUAAGUCAAGGUACAAAGACUGAAAAAUCACCUCUUUACAUCAUAGAUGACAUUUCACAAAGCUGCUCUUGAUGCACAAGACUUGUUAUAUGAAUAGUUGUGUUCAUUAAAAGGUUUAAUUAAUGUAUUACCUUAAUGUGUUGACAUUUCCAUAAUAAAAAAAACAUGUUUGGACAAAAAAUCUAAAAUGUAAGUUAUAGCUAAAGUAACUGUACAAAAAUCAAACUGAGGGAAGGCCUGAGCCCACUCUUCUAAUGACAGUUCUUGUCUAAUUAGCUGAGGGAUUAAAAGAGAGACCAUUUUGUUUAAAGUGUUGGCUCGUUUAAUUUUUGUUUUUGCUGUCCGGGUUGGCCGUUUAUUUUUCUUUCAGGUGUAAAACGUUGUGAAGUAAAUGGUAUAUAGACACUUUUUUGUGUAUUUUUGCAGUUUUUUAAAGGAGCACUGUGUUCAAGGCUAUUGUCAAAUUUUUUUUUUUGCCUUUUAUUUAACUUUUUUAUUUUUGUCUUUGUAUUCCAAUCACACUAAAACUGUAUUUAUUCUGAAACUCAAUAAUUCAUGGUGGAUGUUUCCUUUUCAAAAUGAUGCACAGACCUUCUUAGUUAAGUCACUUUAAUUGUUAU